CCCUUAGACGUUCUGGGCCGCACGCGCGCUACACUGACCAGUGCAACAAGCAUCCGUCCUUGGCCGACAGGCUCGGGCAAUCUUUGAACGCUGGUCGUGAUGGGGAUAGACUUUUGCAAUUUUUGGUCUUCAACGAGGAAUUCCUAGUAAACGCAAGUCAUCAACUUGCAUUGAUUACGUCCCUGCCCUUUGUACACACCGCCCGUCGCACCUACCGAUUGAAUGGUCCGGUGAAGCCUCCUGAUUGGCGCGCACCUCGGUGCCGCCGAGAAGUUGGCUAAACCUUACCAUUUAGAGGAAGGUGAAGUCGUAACA
Molecule: ribosomal RNA, 315 nt
Filed under: uncultured eukaryote
Lineage: Eukaryota
Description: partial 18S ribosomal RNA
Rfam family: Eukaryotic small subunit ribosomal RNA
Source: RNAcentral